AUGCUCCGAGAUGAAAACAUUCUUACUUCUCAAUCCAAAGAAGGAAGAUCAAAGCUCUACUUACUUGUACCCGCCAGGCUUCACGUACCGCGCUCUCGCCAAUUAUGCAAGUCCACCGUAGCAGCUGAGAGAGUUCUCUUGCCGCGUGCUCAACAUUACACCGGUACGCCAAUAAGGAGGAGAGAGGGAGAAAUAGUAUGGGUUUCUCUGACGCUGUGCAAUGGUGGGAUGAGUGGCAGCCCUGCGGAGAUUGUUCUUCACCAACACCGUCAUCACGCCGUCGUGCUGCCGGAACUCAUCUACUACAUCGCCGUCUUGCUGGAUCAAGAAGGCGAGGACGUCAUCAAGCUGAACGUGUGCUGAACGCAGAGGUGUCGUACGUUUGGUACUUGAUCGGGACGGAUCGUGAAGGUGUACGACUACAUCAACCGCGUUGUGAAGCGCUUUCGCUUACGGUCUACGAUGGAUUUCGGACGAUGCGCUUUCGGUGGGAGGAGACGUUCCCGUCGACGACGAGGCGCCUUCGAUGACUUCUUAAAUCUCAAGAUGAUAUAUCGGCUCUGUCUCUCGAAGGUGUUCAUAGAUAGGGCAUGCGUGUAUGUGUUCAUAGGGAUAAGUGUAUGCGCGUAUCAAUGAGCGUUUACUUCUGUACUAUAUUCUAAAAAAUGUUACACUUGGUGCCGUUGGUAGUACUCUUUUUUCAUUAAAU
RNAcentral lists this ribosomal RNA (709 nucleotides) under Triticum aestivum (bread wheat). RNAcentral's name for it is "partial small subunit ribosomal RNA". Lineage: Eukaryota; Viridiplantae; Streptophyta; Magnoliopsida; Poales; Poaceae. The record is from RNAcentral.